This 492-nucleotide ribosomal RNA is filed under the name uncultured bacterium. Its description in RNAcentral is "partial 16S ribosomal RNA". It matches the Rfam family "Bacterial small subunit ribosomal RNA", at positions 29 to 507 of the family's 1533-position model. The record is from RNAcentral.
AGUGAACGCUGGCGGUAGGCCUAACACAUGCAAGUCGAACGGCAGCACAGUAAGAGCUUGCUCUUACGGGUGGCGAGUGGCGGACGGGUGAGGAAUACAUCGGAAUCUACUUUUUCGUGGGGGAUAACGUAGGGAAACUUACGCUAAUACCGCAUACGACCUACGGGUGAAAGCAGGGGAUCUUCGGACCUUGCGCGAUUGAAUGAGCCGAUGUCGGAUUAGCUAGUUGGCGGGGUAGAGGCCCACCAAGGCGACGAUCCGUAGCUGGUCUGAGAGGAUGAUCAGCCACACUGGAACUGAGACACGGUCCAGACUCCUACGGGAGGCAGCAGUGGGGAAUAUUGGACAAUGGGCGCAAGCCUGAUCCAGCCAUACCGCGUGGGUGAAGAAGGCCUUCGGGUUGUAAAGCCCUUUUGUUGGGAAAGUAAAGCAGCAGGUUAAUACCCCGCUGUUCUGACGGUACCCAAAGAAUAAGCACCGGCUAACUUCGUG